This 217-nucleotide ribosomal RNA is filed under the name uncultured bacterium. RNAcentral describes it as "partial 16S ribosomal RNA". It matches the Rfam family "Bacterial small subunit ribosomal RNA", at positions 116 to 334 of the family's 1533-position model. The record is from RNAcentral.
CGUGGAUAACCUGCCUCACACAGGGGAUAACAGUUAGAAAUGACUGCUAAUGCCGCAUAAGCGCACGGCAUCGCAUGAUGCAGUGUGAAAAACUCCGGUGGUGUGAGAUGGAUCCGCGUCUGAUUAGGUAGUUGGUGGGGUAACGGCCCACCAAGCCGACGAUCAGUAGCCGACCUGAGAGGGUGACCGGCCACAUUGGGACUGAGACACGGCCCAA